RNAcentral lists this microRNA (23 nucleotides) under Apis mellifera (honey bee). Its description in RNAcentral is "ame-miR-3732-3p". The record is from miRBase by way of RNAcentral. Lineage: Eukaryota; Metazoa; Arthropoda; Insecta; Hymenoptera; Apidae.
CGACGCCAUGUUUGGUCUCAUCU